Non-coding RNA from Caenorhabditis elegans, 210 nucleotides. Lineage: Eukaryota; Metazoa; Nematoda; Chromadorea; Rhabditida; Rhabditidae. The record is from Ensembl.
GUGAGAGAGAGACAGAACCCACGGGGCCACCAAUCCGUCCGUCAUUACACGAUCAAGGCCAUUUUCUGUAGAGAAGGGAAUGGUGACGGCGGACGAGUGCCGUCGUUCUCUUUCUUUUGGCCCCCACGGUAUAUGGAAUCUGAACACGAUGAUGACAAUCAGGUGUUCGUGCACUUUCCCCUUGUUGUUCUCAUCGACCUGAUUAUGGUU